UUGUUUCAAUCCGUUGUAUAAACAAAACAAGUUGAGAUUCCAACAAAAAAAUGUACCAACGCCAGAAAAAAAACAACGAAAGGACCACAAUUUAUAUUUAUGAUUUUAAAGGAUCAGUUAAUGACUUUUUCAGAGAUUAAAUUGAAUUUGAAUAUUUUCAGAUACCAUACCAAUGACAAUUGAUAUCACAACAUAUAUAAAUGUUAUCGAAAACAUCAUUAAUAUAACCAUAUUUUACUUUAUCUUUUUAAUGUAACUGUUGAUAAAGACUUUAUAUAGUUAGUUUCUUU
This 290-nucleotide long non-coding RNA is filed under the name Phaseolus vulgaris (common bean). RNAcentral describes it as "long non-coding RNA (PVUL_LNC004427)". Lineage: Eukaryota; Viridiplantae; Streptophyta; Magnoliopsida; Fabales; Fabaceae. The record is from RNAcentral.